GUGCCAGUAGCCGCGGUAACACGGGGGUUGCGAGCGUUGUCCGGAAUUACUAGGCGUAAAGGGCAGGCAGGCGGAUCCAUAAGUUUAUCGUUUAAGGCGUCGGCUUAACCGGCGUAGGGCGGUAGAUACUGUGGAUCUGGAAUGCGGUUGGGGAAGACAGAAUUCCUGGUGUAGCGGUGGAAUGCGCAGAGAUCAGGAGGAAUACCGAAGGCGAAGGCAGUCUUCCAAGCCGUUAUUGACGCUCAACUGCGAAGGUGUGGGUAUCAAACAGGAUUAGAUACCCUGGUAGUCCACACAGUAAACGAUAAUCACUGGGGUGUCGGGGUUCCGCAUAGGAUUUCCGGUGCCUGUAGCUAACCGCGUUAAGUUGAAUUUCGCUCUGGGGGAGUACCGAUCGCAAAGGGUUUGAAAACUCAAAGGAAAUUUGGACCGGGGGGCCCCGCACAAGGCGGGUUGGGAGCAUGGGGGGUUUUAAAUUUCGGAAAGCCAACCGCCGGAAGAAACCCUUACCCCCGGGUCUUUGACAAUCCGGGGGGGAAUUCCCUCA
This 547-nucleotide ribosomal RNA is filed under the name uncultured bacterium. RNAcentral's name for it is "bacterial SSU rRNA". It matches the Rfam family "Bacterial small subunit ribosomal RNA", at positions 505 to 1013 of the family's 1533-position model. The record is from RNAcentral.